GGAGUGUUGGCCGAGUAGGUCGAAGGCGCUCGCCUGCUAAGCGAGUAUACGACUACAAUCGUAUCGAGAGUUCGAAUCUCUCACACUCCG
This is a transfer RNA of 90 nucleotides. It matches the Rfam family "tRNA". Rfam says of the family: Transfer RNA (tRNA) molecules are approximately 80 nucleotides in length. Their secondary structure includes four short double-helical elements and three loops (D, anti-codon, and T loops). Further hydrogen bonds mediate the characteristic L-shaped molecular structure. tRNAs have two regions of fundamental functional importance: the anti-codon, which is responsible for specific mRNA codon recognition, and the 3' end, to which the tRNAs corresponding amino acid is attached (by aminoacyl-tRNA synthetases). tRNAs cope with the degeneracy of the genetic code in two manners: having more than one tRNA (with a specific anti-codon) for a particular amino acid; and 'wobble' base-pairing, i.e. permitting non-standard base-pairing at the 3rd anti-codon position. The record is from Rfam.